AAAGGCUUUAACCUUUCUCUUUCCCCACUUAGUUGUUUCCUCGUGGAUGAUCAUUAUUUCAGUUUCCUCCCCAGUUGAUUAUCUGGAUGGAACCACUCCCCUUGAGUUACAUCCUCUUUGGGUUGAGUCUUUAAUUGGCUUUUCUUUCUAGUUUUUUCCUAGAUAGAUGCUUUUGGUCCCCUGAGAGCCUAUUACCCAGUAACUAGUAAUAUUAUUCUCAUGUUUGUCA
RNAcentral lists this long non-coding RNA (229 nucleotides) under Lathyrus oleraceus (garden pea). RNAcentral describes it as "Pisum sativum (pea) long non-coding RNA (PSAT_LNC003909)". The record is from RNAcentral. Lineage: Eukaryota; Viridiplantae; Streptophyta; Magnoliopsida; Fabales; Fabaceae.